CAGCAGCCACGGUAAUACGAAGGUGGCUAGCGUUGUUCGGAUUUACUGGGCGUAAAGGGUGCGUAGGCGGACUGAUAAGUCAGGGGUGAAAUCCCAAGGCUCAACCUUGGAACUGCCUUUGAUACUGUUAGUCUUGAGUUCGAGAGAGGUGAGUGGAACUGCGAGUGUAGAGGUGAAAUUCGUAGAUAUUCGCAAGAACACCAGUGGCGAAGGCGGCUCACUGGCUCGAAACUGACGCUGAGGCACGAAAGCGUGGGGAGCAAACAGGAUUAGAUACCCCAGUAGUCCCUGUCUCUUAUAC
Molecule: ribosomal RNA, 301 nt
Filed under: uncultured bacterium
Lineage: Bacteria
Description: partial 16S ribosomal RNA
Rfam family: Bacterial small subunit ribosomal RNA
Source: RNAcentral